This 957-nucleotide ribosomal RNA is filed under the name uncultured Bacillota bacterium. RNAcentral's name for it is "bacterial SSU rRNA". It matches the Rfam family "Bacterial small subunit ribosomal RNA", at positions 1 to 917 of the family's 1533-position model. The record is from RNAcentral. Lineage: Bacteria; Bacillati; Bacillota.
UGGAUCCAGACUUUGAUUCUGGCUCAGGACGAGCGCUGGCGGCGUGCCUAAUACAUGCAAGUCGAGCGAGCUUGCCUAGAUGAUUUUAGUGCUUGCACUAAAUGAAACUAGAUACAAGCGAGCGGCGGACGGGUGAGUAACACGUGGGUAACCUGCCCAAGAGACUGGGAUAACACCUGGAAACAGAUGCUAAUACCGGAUAACAACACUAGACGCAUGUCUAGAGUUUGAAAGAUGGUUCUGCUAUCACUCUUGGAUGGACCUGCGGUGCAUUAGCUAGUUGGUAAGGUAACGGCUUACCAAGGCAAUGACGCAUAGCCGAGUUGAGAGACUGAUCGGCCACAUUGGGACUGAGACACGGCCCAAACUCCUACGGGAGGCAGCAGUAGGGAAUCUUCCACAAUGGACGAAAGUCUGAUGGAGCAACGCCGCGUGAGUGAAGAAGGGUUUCGGCUCGUAAAGCUCUGUUGGUAGUGAAGAAAGAUAGAGGUAGUAACUGGCCUUUAUUUGACGGUAAUUACUUAGAAAGUCACGGCUAACUACGUGCCAGCAGCCGCGGUAAUACGUAGGUGGCAAGCGUUGUCCGGAUUUAUUGGGCGUAAAGCGAGUGCAGGCGGUUCAAUAAGUCUGAUGUGAAAGCCUUCGGCUCAACCGGAGAAUUGCAUCAGAAACUGUUGAACUUGAGUGCAGAAGAGGAGAGUGGAACUCCAUGUGUAGCGGUGGAAUGCGUAGAUAUAUGGAAGAACACCAGUGGCGAAGGCGGCUCUCUGGUCUGCAACUGACGCUGAGGCUCGAAAGCAUGGGUAGCGAACGGGAUUAGAUACCCUGGCAGUCCAUGCCGUAAACGAUGAGUGCUAAGUGUUGGGAGGUUUCCGCCUCUCAGUGCUGCAGCUAACGCAUUAAGCACUCCGCCUGGGGAGUACGACCGCAAGGUUGCAACUCAAAUGAAUUGACGGA